AUUCUGUUUCUCUGUCAAUGUCCAAGCCCGAUAGAAAGAUACAAUCUUCUUCACGAGAGACUAAAGAGAAAAUUAGGGUUCAUCGUCUUUUUUCAUCUGUGAAAUCCAAGAGCUAGACGAACAAUGGAGAUUUAGCAUGUCAAGCGAGACGAACCGUCGUGAAGAAUAUUUGUAUCAAGCUUCUACAGAAUCGUUUUUGUCUUUGGUUCUUUCCUGUGAGACCUUACGAAGAGACUUGAUUCAUCGCCUUUAAGAAACAUCUUAACUCAAUCGACGCAAAUCAAGCACAAAGUCUCAUUCAAUGAUACUCAUCCAUUCAAGGCGGUGUGUAUUUUACCUAUAAAAGGCGUUUCUUCCCUGCGUUUACUAAGAUCGUCUGGGCUCUCAUUCUUAAACAGUGGCUCGAUUUGAAUUCUCUUGGGAUGACACUGACUAUAACCAGAGACACUUGAUAAUCUGAAUUUCCAGAUGGCCACUGUAGGCAGUUUGUGGUGACACGUCUUCUUCGAUGAUGGAAGGCUCACAAUGAAAUAAGACGUUAUUUGUCAGGUGAGGGAAACUAUGGUUUAUCUACUUCAUGAAAAGUUAGUACUCUUGCGUGUUGAGCCAAAGAAUGCAGAGGACCAUCCAGAUGAUGAUAUGACAGGGGCUGUUAAUCUCUCUAUGGACUCGAACCCAAUUGUAAACAACAUUGGUCUAGAUAACACCAAGUCACCAACAGGUGUGAUGCUGCUGCAUCAAUCGAAGGCUGUUCAGAAGUGUCUGAACCAAUUCCUCCGAAACUGAUCCACUGAUCAACACGAAGGAGGAAACAAUGGAUGGUGACAAGGGUCCAAAUCUUAAGAAACCUCCAGAUGCUUGAUCACUCCAACUAUGGAGACAAUGAAGUUGGCGAAAGUGAAAACACCGAACUAAAGUGAAAACACGAUCAAUACAUAUUUUAAUAGCUUAGCUUUGUUGUCUAUAUUGUUUUGUUUAAAGAGGGAAAACCUCAGUUUUACAUAUCCGUGCAUUAUCAUGUGAUAUCACAACUAUAAUAUAUAUAAAAACCACAACACAGGAAUUUGUUA
Molecule: long non-coding RNA, 1070 nt
Organism: Brassica napus (rape)
Lineage: Eukaryota; Viridiplantae; Streptophyta; Magnoliopsida; Brassicales; Brassicaceae
Exons: 5
Source: RefSeq, a predicted model, not a curated record